RNAcentral lists this ribosomal RNA (497 nucleotides) under uncultured bacterium. Its description in RNAcentral is "partial 16S ribosomal RNA". It matches the Rfam family "Bacterial small subunit ribosomal RNA", at positions 28 to 507 of the family's 1533-position model. The record is from RNAcentral.
GAUGAACGCUGGCGGCGUGCCUAAUACAUGCAAGUCGAGCGAACAGACGAGGAGCUUGCUCCUCUGACGUUAGCGGCGGACGGGUGAGUAACGCGUGGAUAACCUACCUAUCAGUCUGGGAUAACUUCGGGAAACCGGCGCUAAUACCGUAUAAUAUAUUGAUCCGCAUGGUUCAAUAGUGAAAGACGGCUUUGCUGUCACUUCUAGCUGGAUCUGGGCCGCAUUAGCUGGUUGGUAGGGUAACGGCCUACCAAGGCAACGAUGCGUAGACGAACUGACAGGGUGAUAGGCCACACUGGAACGUAGACACGGUCCAGGCUCCUACGGGAGGCAGCAGUAGGGAAUCGUCGGCAGUGGGCGAAAGCCUGACGGAGCAACGCGGAGCGAGUGAUGAAGGUCUUGGGAUCGUAAAACUGUGUUAUGAGGGAAGAACAAAUGUGUAAGUAAAUAUGCACGUCUUGACGGUAACGGAUCAGAAAGCAACGGCUAACUACGUG